GUGUCAGCAGCCGCGGUAAGACGAACCGUGCUAACGUUGUUCGGAAUCACUGGGCUUAAAGGGCGCGUAGGCGGUUUGCCAAGUCAAGGGUGAAAUCUUUCGGCCCAACCGGAAAAGGGCCUUUGAUACUGGCAGACUAGAGCGAGGUAGGGGCAGAUGGAACUUCCGGUGGAGCGGUGAAAUGUGUUGAUAUCGGAAGGAACGCCGGUGGCGAAAGCGAUCUGCUGGACCUCUUCUGACGCUGAGGCGCGAAAGCCAGGGGAGCAAACGGGAUUAGAAACCCGCGUAGUCC
RNAcentral lists this ribosomal RNA (292 nucleotides) under uncultured bacterium. RNAcentral describes it as "partial 16S ribosomal RNA". It matches the Rfam family "Bacterial small subunit ribosomal RNA", at positions 505 to 796 of the family's 1533-position model. The record is from RNAcentral.